GCCUGGUGUGGUGGCGUGAACCUGUAGUCCCAGUUACUUGGGAGGCUGAGGCAGAAGAAUCGCUUGAGCCCAGGAGGUGGAGGUUGCAGUGGGCCAAGAUCGUGCCACUGCACUCCAGCCUGGGCAACAGAGCGAGACUCUGUCUCAA
This 148-nucleotide non-coding RNA is filed under the name Nomascus leucogenys (northern white-cheeked gibbon). Lineage: Eukaryota; Metazoa; Chordata; Mammalia; Primates; Hylobatidae. The record is from Rfam by way of RNAcentral.